This 107-nucleotide Y RNA is filed under the name Carlito syrichta (Philippine tarsier). RNAcentral's name for it is "Y RNA (ENSTSYG00000021927.2)". It matches the Rfam family "Y RNA". From Rfam's summary of the family: Y RNAs are components of the Ro ribonucleoprotein particle (Ro RNP), in association with Ro60 and La proteins. The record is from Rfam by way of RNAcentral. Lineage: Eukaryota; Metazoa; Chordata; Mammalia; Primates; Tarsiidae.
GGCUGGUCCGAGUGCAAUGGUGUUUACAGCAAAUUGAUCACAACCAGUUACAGACUGAUUUCUUUGUUACUUCUCUGCUCCCACUGCUUCAAGUCGACUAGUCUUUA